RNAcentral lists this ribosomal RNA (406 nucleotides) under uncultured bacterium. RNAcentral describes it as "partial 16S ribosomal RNA". It matches the Rfam family "Bacterial small subunit ribosomal RNA", at positions 30 to 526 of the family's 1533-position model. The record is from RNAcentral.
AUCGAACGCUGGCGGCAGGCCUAACACAUGCAAGUAGAACGAGUUGCGAACGGGUGAGUAACGCGUGGUAACCUGCCUCAUAGCGGGGGAUAACUAUUGGAAACGAUAGCUAAUACCGCAUACUGUGAGAUGGACCUGCGUUGUAUUAGCUAGUUGGUGAGGUAAAGGCUCACCAAGGCGACGAUACAUAGCCGACCUGAGAGGGUGAUCGGCCACACUGGUACUGGGGCACGGUCCAGACUCCUACGUGAGGAAGCGGUGGAGCAUAUUGCGCUAUGGGCGCAAGCCUGAUGCAGCCAUGCCGCGUGUCUGAAGAAGGCCUUCGGGUUGUAGAGUACUUUCAGCGGGGCGGCGUUACCCGCAGAAGAAGCACCGGCUAACUCCGUGCCAGCAGCCGCGGUAAUAC